RNAcentral lists this ribosomal RNA (492 nucleotides) under uncultured bacterium. RNAcentral describes it as "partial 16S ribosomal RNA". It matches the Rfam family "Bacterial small subunit ribosomal RNA", at positions 29 to 507 of the family's 1533-position model. The record is from RNAcentral.
AGUGAACGCUGGCGGUAGGCCUAACACAUGCAAGUCGAACGGCAGCACAGUAAGAGCUUGCUCUUACGGGUGGCGAGUGGCGGACGGGUGAGGAAUACAUCGGAAUCUACUUUUUCGUGGGGGAUAACGUAGGGAAACUUACGCUAAUACCGCAUACGACCUACGGGUGAAAGCAGGGGAUCUUCGGACCUUGCGCGAUUGAAUGAGCCGAUGUCGGAUUAGCUAGUUGGCGGGGUAAAGGCCCACCAAGGCGACGAUCCGUAGCUGGUCUGAGAGGAUGAGCAGCCACACUGGAACUGAGACACGGUCCAGACUCCUACGGGAGGCAGCAGUGGGGAAUAUUGGACCAUGGGCGCAAGCCUGAUCCAGCCAUACCGCGUGGGUGAAGAAGGCCUUCGGGUUGUAAAGCCCUUUUGUUGGGAAAGAAAAGCAGCAGGUUAAUACCCCGCUGUUCUGACGGUACCCAAAGAAUAAGCACCGGCUAACUUCGUG